This is a long non-coding RNA of Carassius carassius (crucian carp), 1700 nucleotides long. RefSeq lists it as uncharacterized. Lineage: Eukaryota; Metazoa; Chordata; Actinopteri; Cypriniformes; Cyprinidae. The transcript has 3 exons. The record is from RefSeq and is a predicted model, not a curated record.
CCUGGGGUUGUUGUACUAACUGAACAUAUCAGAUUAGAAGACUGAAACUAACUCGUUUAUAAUUCUUAUAUAUUCAUAAAGCCAUUCUGAGUGUUUUGGGCUGUACAAUACGAUUAUAUCAGGGCAGGAAAACCCCUAGUUGAAUAUCUGGCUUAAUCUUCUUUUGGCCUUGCUCGUUCUCCCAAAAAUCUUCUUUUAACAAUGCAAUUGAGGAAGCGGAAGCACACCAAAAGUGGUUAAAUGUGGUCUGGCUUGCCAGUGCACGGGCUGUUAUGGACUUCCUCUGCAAAGUAUUUCAUUUUGGACACAGUCCCUUUCUAAACACAGCGCACCUGGGACAACAGCUUUGGUUCCAGACACAGUGUUAAUCAGCAGCAAUGCAUGCCUGCCAGCGGCUCGUAUAUACAAUUAAUAUUAUGCCCUGACUUUUAACAGCCGAUAUUGCGGCUCUUAUGAAAACAGAAUACCGCAGAGUGCCACGACUCCAGCGUUUAGCCGAAGCAGAAUGACAGCAUUUUUACAGAAAUCUUCUUGAUUGCUGAAAGGAUCUCAAAGAAUUUGGAGGGAAAGUGGCAAAGAAAAAUAUUUAAGCAGCCCUAAUGCAUUCUUUCAUGAGCUGUGGUGUGUCCAUUGCCUGGGCAAUAAGACAAAACAUACCCUGCAGAAUCCGACGGUUGUCUCAUUGGGAAGACAAGUCAUUUUCACAUGAAGGUAUCCAUGACUAGGCCGUCUUAGUGUUUGACAUUCCAGUAUUGAUUCCACUCUGAGGGUGUGGAGGGGAUUUCCGCCGUAAUCUCCAGUGAAAGAGGUGCGUGCCGUGCGCUGGAAACACACUCACAGGCUAAUUCGAGGCAAAGUAAAGCUCUCAUCUGGGAUUGGUAAGAGUCUCUCCAAGCACCCCAAAGACUUCCAGCUCAUUCUUGAUUGCACAUGGCAGCCUCUGACCUGUACCGAAGGCACCCGCUGCCAUGGAAGAUUGAUGAUUAUCGAUGCAGAAACCCUUUGCUAAUUCAGCGUACAAGCAUUCGUCGGCAGCGUUAAUCCGCUUCCUAUGGAGAAGGCCGAGGGGGUGUGUGAAAGCAGGCUGUGUGUCAUCCCUUCAGCUCUGACAGAGUUCCUGGAAGGAAAGGUGAGGAAAGGUUGUGUACACAGGUGAUUACUUAAUCAUGGUAUCCUCUGUGAGAGAGGGCCAACAAAAGGUCAUGUCACUCCAGCAACAAAGCUCAAUGUACCCUCGUAACUACUCUGCUCAAACAACACUAUGCCAGAGACCUCACCUAAUAAAGGAGUGGUUACACGUGUUUUGAUAGCUAAGCUCAUCUCAACUGAGAACCCUCCUAAAACAUGCCCAUGGUUUGAAUAUUGCAUGAAUUAAGACUGCAAUUGCUGACAUGGUUUGACUUGAGAGUCCCUUUUGGUUUGGCGUACUACUUUCAUGUUUUUUGCACUUAGUAACUUCCUCUUAGAUGGACUUUUGCAUGUGACUGAUGGCCUUCAGUUGUUGCUCUCCGUGGCUCGGCAGUCCACCCUCUCUGUGAGCCCCGACGAAUCUCUACAUUGUGACUGUGCGACUAAACAAACAUGAAGUGGCUCUUCAGAGCUUUAAGGACUUAAGAGAUUCUUAGAUUUGAAAGACGGAGUGAGAAUAGAUUGAAAUGUUUUUGGACUACAUUACAUUUAACUUUUUUAUUAUUAUUAUU